AGAGUUUGAUCCUGGCUCAGAACGAACGCUGGCGGCAUGCCUAACACAUGCAAGUCGAACGAGACCUUCGGGUCUAGUGGCGCACGGGUGCGUAACGCGUGGGAAUCUGCCCUUGGGUUCGGGAUAACAGUUGGAAACGACUGCUAAUACCGGAUGAUGACUUCGGUCCAAAGAUUUAUCGCCCAGGGAUGAGCCCGCGUCGGAUUAGCUAGUUGGUGGGGUAAAGGCUCACCAAGGCGACGAUCCGUAGCUGGUCUGAGAGGAUGAUCAGCCACACUGGGACUGAGACACGGCCCAGACUCCUACGGGAGGCAGCAGUGGGGAAUAUUGGACAAUGGGCGAAAGCCUGAUCCAGCAAUGCCGCGUGAGUGAUGAAGGCCUUAGGGUUGUAAAGCUCUUUUACCCGGGAAGAUAAUGGCUGUACCGGGAGAAUAAGCCCCGGCUAACUCCGUGCCAGCAGCCGCGGUAAUACGGAGGGGGCUAGCGUUGUUCGGAAUUACUGGGCGUAAAGCGCACGUAGGCGGCUUUGUAAGUUAGAGGUGAAAGCCCGGGGCUCAACUCCGGAAUUGCCUUUAAGACUGCAUCGCUAGAAUUGUGGAGAGGUGAGUGGAAUUCCGAGUGUAGAGGUGAAAUUCUUACAUAUUCGGAAGAACACCAGUGGCGAAAGCGACUCACUGGACACACUUUGCCGCUGACGUGCGAAACCGCGGGC
RNAcentral lists this ribosomal RNA (712 nucleotides) under uncultured bacterium. RNAcentral's name for it is "bacterial SSU rRNA". It matches the Rfam family "Bacterial small subunit ribosomal RNA", at positions 8 to 766 of the family's 1533-position model. The record is from RNAcentral.